Molecule: long non-coding RNA, 2071 nt
Filed under: Jatropha curcas
Lineage: Eukaryota; Viridiplantae; Streptophyta; Magnoliopsida; Malpighiales; Euphorbiaceae
Description: long non-coding RNA (JCUR_LNC001838)
Source: RNAcentral
UUCUGCCAUCAAGCUGUCCAUCAAGUGUAAUGAACUGUCCGACAUGGGAUCCAAAUCCUCCAACUGAGCCUUCCUCAACUGUUACUAGAAAUUCAUGAUUUUCACAUAGCUGUCUGAGAAGCUUCAGGUCGAGUGGCUUGCAGAAUCUUGCAUCGGCAACAGUUACCUCAAUGCCAAGCUUUGAGAGAAGCUGACGAGCUUUGAGGCAGUUCUGAACCAUGGCUCCAUACCCAAGCAAAGCAACAUCUUUACCAUCUAUAAGAACUUUUCCCUUUCCAAUCUGCUCUACAGAAAUGGGCAAACAAACAAAAGGUAUAAGCUCAUGCUCAGACUUAGAAUUUCAUAAUAUGCAUCAAAGAGUCAGAGAACCAACAAUUACAAAAACACAAUAAAGGGUUUCAAAAUUCAAAUAAAACUUUUAAGGGAAAAAAAAAAAUUAGAGGAACACCUUGUAAGGCAUGUAUUGCAUGUUCAUUGUUGUCUAACACAAUAUUUAUUCAUGGGAUAACAGGUGACAAUAACAUGAGGUUGUGUAAGGCAGAAUGCACAAGAAUAAGAAAAAGGACAGGAAUAAGGAUAUGCUUCCAAACAUUAAAAGAUUGCCAUCAGCAACAACCAAAAGAAUUUUCUCUAAGCAACAAAUAAGUGUCACUGCAACAUUAAAUAUCAGCACAAAGUAAGAGCGAACAAACAAAUACGUCAAGAAUUACCUCAAUUGGAAUUCCACUGCGUGUAUAAUGGUCUGUCCCAAUAAUAGCACCCCUUGGAUAACGGAAGCAGACUGGACGAUCACCUUAGUCCUAGAUUAAUAAUUAAUUCAUCUGUGUAUCUGUGACAUAAUCUUGUCUAAAUGCAAAAACGAUGUCAGGUGUCUCAAGUGUGAAUACGACUACCAAAAGCACAUGCAAACGGGAAUAAAAAAAAAAGAAAAGAAAAGCAUGAUUUCUCCAACUAACACGUGCAUGAGACACUAGAAUAAAAUUCAUAUAAUUGUUUUUAUUUUCCACAUACAUUGUGUUUUAAAGAUAAUGAAAAACAUAAUAAUAAAAAAGAAAAAAAAAAUUCUAAAGUUAAAUACCUACUACCGAACUAAAUACCUAAAAGUUUCAGCUCCUCACGCGUUUGUCCAUGCAACGCAAGGCACGUGAAAGAUGAUCUCUCGUAGAUUACAGUAGGAACUGGCUUCAUUGUUUAUUUAUUAAUUUUUUUAGUAUUAGGAAGAAGAGUUCUGUUGUAAACUGGCUUUAUUAAAAUUUCCUUACAUUAGGAUUUUUUGAAGGUAAAUACAGAGAACAUCAGUCUUCAGUCCUAAUUAAACUCUUUAAUGUUGUAAAGUUCUAUACAGCCAUACAAACCUGACGUUAUAUUAAUAACAUGCAAACUAACUAGGAUAAUAUAUAAGCUACCAAAAACAUUGCUAAUGACUUGAGCUUCUAUUUGUCCUUGUUCCUUCAGUGCUGGUUCAAUCUUGUAUUCUUCUUGAAAAAAUAGCAGAGAAAAUAUCCAUAGUCUAACACAUUAACAGGAGAGCUUCACGGGUACGACCAAGCAGUCUUAGUACUGUUGCAGCAAUGUGAUGUCCAGUCAGCCCAGCAAGAGUCAGCUGUUCCUUCGGCAGUGCAUGUUCGAUGUAUCUGUCUGGUAAAACUAUAGGUCGCCACUGGAGAAAUUUAUUUGAAACAAGAUUAGAAUUUAGAAUUAAGAUACAAUAGUUUGACUCCAAACAAGAGCUAUCAUCAUAAUAUAUUAGGCGCUAUCAUGAUAGCAGCAAUACAUCACUUGAUUAUUACCUUAGUUCUGCCAUCAAGCUGUCCAUCAAGUGUAAUGAACUGUCCGACAUGGGAUCCAAAUCCUCCAACUGAGCCUUCCUCAACUGUUACUAGAAAUUCAUGAUUUUCACAUAGCUGUCUGAGAAGCUUCAGGUCGAGUGGCUUGCAGAAUCUUGCAUCGGCAACAGUUACCUCAAUGCCAAGCUUUGAGAGAAGCUGACGAGCUUUGAGGCAGUUCUGAACCAUGGCUCCAUACCCAAGCAAAGCAACAUCUUUACCAUCUAUAAGAACUUUUCCCUUUC